RNAcentral lists this small nuclear RNA (180 nucleotides) under Cricetulus griseus (Chinese hamster). RNAcentral's name for it is "7SK RNA". It matches the Rfam family "7SK RNA". Rfam says of the family: 7SK was discovered as an abundant small nuclear RNA in the mid-70s but a possible function has only recently been suggested. The record is from Rfam by way of RNAcentral. Lineage: Eukaryota; Metazoa; Chordata; Mammalia; Rodentia; Cricetidae.
UGAUGUGACAGUGAUCUGUCUGUGACAUCUGUCACCCCAUUGAUCAGCAGGGUUGAUUCAGCUGCUCUGGCUGUCUGGGGGGGGGGUCCCUUUCCUCCCUGACCACUUUAUGUGUGGCUCUCCCAAAGCUACUCUCAGUCAAAGAGGACGACCUUCCCUGAAUUGAGUGUGUAUUUAAAG